UACGUAGGGUGCGAGCGUUAAUCGGAAUUACUGGGCGUAAAGCGUGCGCAGGCGGUUUGCUAAGACCGAUGUGAAAUCCCCGGGCUUAACCUGGGAACUGCAUUGGUGACUGGCAGGCUAGAGUAUGGCAGAGGGGGGUAGAAUUCCACGUGUAGCAGUGAAAUGCGUAGAGAUGUGGAGGAAUACCGAUGGCGAAGGCAGCCCCCUGGGCCCAAUACUGACGCUCAUGCACGAAAGCGUGGGGAGCA
This 248-nucleotide ribosomal RNA is filed under the name uncultured bacterium. RNAcentral's name for it is "partial 16S ribosomal RNA". It matches the Rfam family "Bacterial small subunit ribosomal RNA", at positions 524 to 770 of the family's 1533-position model. The record is from RNAcentral.